Molecule: long non-coding RNA, 2513 nt
Organism: Oncorhynchus tshawytscha (Chinook salmon)
Lineage: Eukaryota; Metazoa; Chordata; Actinopteri; Salmoniformes; Salmonidae
Exons: 2
Source: RefSeq, a predicted model, not a curated record
GUGGAGUAUGGCGCGGAGGGAGGGAGGGAGGGAGGGGAGAGGAGGUCUUAUAAAGCAUAGCCGGCCAGUAGGGCAGGGGGAGGCAAGGCAGUGGGGAGGACAGAGAGCAGAGCAGGGGGAGAGGGGGAGGCAAGGCAGUGGGGAGGACGGAGAGCAGAGCAGGGGGAGAGGGAGAUGGGCGGAGGCGAUCACACAGCACACCUGCACCCAUUCCCUCUCUAAUGUCCGACAGGGUCCAGAACCGGCAUGAUUUGUAGAGAGCCAUCUGCUCUGGAUCAAACACAGCGCUUCUUUAUUUUCCUAAAUCCUCUGGUCUUUGUAGCAGUAGAGUUGAAGAGGGAUAGUUACUGACACCAUAAAUCAUUAUGUUUAAACGUUAAUGUUGGUAGUCAGGCUAAUAGAUGAAUCACUCACUAUAUCCAAAACCCCAAACUAUACAUUCAACCUUUCUAUAUGUUCAUUUGUUAGAUGGUCACACAUCCUACUCCUUAAAUUCAUAGGAAAAAGGUGAAUUGUCUUCGCAUGUGUUAAACAACCAAGAACUCUUUCAUAGGAUUUCUAGAAAGCCAACAAGCGGUUUCACACGGCAUGUUAUUCUUCAAUUGUAACUUCCUGUCUGUGUUACUUAUCUAGAUGAUAGUGUGUUACUUAUCUAGAUGGUAGUGUGUUACUUAUCUAGAUGAUAGUGUGUUUCUUAACUAGAUGAUAGUGUGUUACUUAUCUAGAUGGUAGUGUGUUACUUAUCUAGAUGAUAUUGUGUUACUUAUCUAGAUGAUAUUGUGUUACUUAUCUAGAUGAUAGUGUGUUACUUAUCUAGAUGAUAGUGUGUUACUUAUCUAGAUGAUAGUGUGUUACUUAUCUAGAUGAUAGUGUGUUACUUAUCUAGAUGAUAGUGUGUUUCUUAUCUAGAUGAUAGUGUGUUUCUUAUCUAGAUGAUAUUGUGUUACUUAUCUAGAUGAUAUUGUGUUACUUAUCUAGAUGAUAGUGUGUUACUUAUCUAGAUGAUAUUGUGUUACUUAUCUAGAUGAUAUUGUGUUACUUAUCUAGAUGAUAUUGUGUUACUUAUCUAGAUGAUAUUGUGUUACUUAUCUAGAUGAUAUUGUGUUACUUAUCUAGAUGAUAGUGUGUUACUUAUCUAGAUGAUAUUGUGUUACUUAUCUAGAUGAUAUUGUGUUACUUAUCUAGAUGGUAGUGUGUUACUUAUCUAGAUGAUAUUGUGUUACUUAUCUAGAUGAUAUUGUGUUACUUAUCUAGAUGGUAGUGUGUUACUUAUCUAGAUGAUAUUGUGUUACUUAUCUAGAUGAUAGUGUGUUUCUUAUCUAGAUGAUAUUGUGUUACUUAUCUAGAUGAUAGUGUGUUUCUUAUCUAGAUGAUAGUGUGUUACUUAUCUAGAUGAUAGUGUGUUACUUAUCUAGAUGAGUGUGUUACUUAUCUAGAUGAUAUUGUGUUACUUAUCUAGAUGAUAUUGUGUUACUUAUCUAGAUGAUAUUGUGUUACUUAUCUAGAUGAUAGUGUGUUACUUAUCUAGAUGAUAGUGUGUUACUUAUCUAGAUGAUAUUGUGUUACUUAUCUAGAUGGUAGUGUGUUACUUAUCUAGAUGAUAUUGUGUUACUUAUCUAGAUGAUAUUGUGUUACUUAUCUAGAUGAUAGUGUGUUUCUUAUCUAGAUGAUAGUGUGUUACUUAUCUAGAUGAUAGUGUGUUACUUAUCUAGAUGAUAUUGUGUUACUUAUCUAGAUGAUAUUGUGUUACUUAUCUAGAUGAUAUUGUGUUACUUAUCUAGAUGGUAGUGUGUUACUUAUCUAGAUGGUAGUGUGUUACUUAUCUAGAUGAUAUUGUGUUACUUAUCUAGAUGAUAUUGUGUUACUUAUCUAGAUGAUAUUGUGUUACUUAUCUAGAUGAUAUUGUGUUACUUAUCUAGAUGAUAGUGUGUUUCUUAUCUAGAUGAUAGUGUGUUACUUAUCUAGAUGAUAGUGUGUUACUUAUCUAGAUGAUAUUGUGUUACUUAUCUAGAUGGUAGUGUGUUACUUAUCUAGAUGGUAGUGUGUUUCUUAUCUAGAUGGAGCCCAACUCUUCAGGGUAUAGAUUUGUGAGAAUGUUAAGGCAGGGAGAGAAAAAAAGGAAAACCGCUCACUGAAAGGUCAGAACACUUUUUUGUUUGUUUGUCCUACAACAUUUUUGAAGAAAUGUCUAGGAAACGUGACUGUGCCUUUGUAGACAAAAAGACUCAGAGAAACAGGCGGUGUUUUAUACAAGCUUUAUUACAACUUGGUUAACAGCUGUACAUGUCAGAGCGUAGGAAGCACAUUUUAUCAACAAGUUUCAAAUGGACAGGUAACUAUGACCACUAAUGUCCUCCUCCACUGUUUGUUAGUCCCAUACAGUGUGUACAUAUUAUACAAGCAGCAAUAUAAAACUUGGCAAAUGGAAAGGUUUUUUGCUACUUUAUUUUUUAAUGUAAAAUAAGUCUUUCCUAUGAAUAAAAAAUACAGCAACCAUAAAACCUGGCGAUUAA